CGGCACGUAGCUCAGACGGUAGAGCCACGGUGCGCAGGUUCGAGUCCUGCCGUGUCGACCC
Molecule: transfer RNA, 61 nt
Filed under: Microbacterium testaceum
Lineage: Bacteria; Bacillati; Actinomycetota; Actinomycetes; Micrococcales; Microbacteriaceae
Description: tRNA-OTHER
Rfam family: tRNA
About the family: Transfer RNA (tRNA) molecules are approximately 80 nucleotides in length.
Source: RNAcentral